GGGGUGGAUUCAGUAUCCAUCGACAUGAAGGACAAGAAGAUGACAGUGAUAGGGGACAUUGAUCCAGUAUGCAUAGUGGCCAAACUGAGAAAGCUGUGUGGCACAGAAAUAGUCACAGUAGGACCGGCAAAAGAGCCUGAGAAGAAAAAAGAUGAGCCGCCGAAGAAGCCAGAAGGAGAUCAGAAGAAAGAUCCCGAGCCUGUGGCUUACCUGGCCUAUCAUCCUCAUAUGCCCCCAUAUUGUUAUGUUUCAUGUGUAGAGGAUAAUCAAAAUGCUUGUGUCAUUUCUUAAUUUGAUGUUAAAAACAAAUAUAAUAUAUAGAGAUGAAAUAAGUGGAAAAAAAUAAUAUAGCUUAUUGGUGGGUUUGGGAAAUUUGGGUGGUUAUUAGAACUUCGUUAGUGAUUACACUACAGCUGUACAAAAGUUGAUGUGGUUAUUAGAACUUCGUUAGUAAUUUAACGACCAUAUAAAAAAAACUUGUUGGUGUGGGGUUGUUUUAUAUUAAUGAAUUGUGGGUCUUAUUUUGGUAUUAAUUAAUGCAUACCAAUUUGAUAGUGAUUUUUUAUUAAUGGACACGUAAGGCAUUAUUUUGUUACUUUUCCAAGAUAAAAAAAAUUAAAAACAAUAAAUAUAAAAACAUAUUUCAUCAAGAAGAUAGAGUUAUAUAAAAUAAAUAUUUUUUUAUAUUUAUUUGUUUUUAUCUCGACAUAAUAAUUAAAUUUUAUGAAAAUGAACAUGGGAAAUCAUGUCAACUUUGUGUUUGGUAUUUGUUGACACAGAAUUUGAGAAUAAAAGGCCGCCGUUACUUUGGUCACGGUUUUCGCCCAUAAAAAGGCCAAUUUGUUCAAGUAAUGCAUGGUGUUCUAAAAGAAAAUGAUUACAAGAAAAGUACAACGUUGUUCCCUUUAAAAAAAACUCGUCCUCCAAGGAAAUAUGAAAACUAAAGUGAUGACUAAUGUUGUUUUGGCAUGUCUUCUUCGACCAAUUUCAAAAACUAUCCUGCAAUUCUGCUGCUUUGUAUGAAAAGGGCAAACCCUUUUCCACUCCAUUAACUUUUGGUUCUCUCUACUAUUUUGAUGUUCUUCACUUUUUUUCUUAAGGAGUCUCCUUUCCUUUGUGAAUAGUAAGAAAGUCACGUUUUCUUUUUUACACUUAUAGCAAUUUUUUUUUUUGAAAAAUAUCCCUCAUCAGUGUUUGAAUAUCACUUUAACCGAUGAAUAAAAAAUCAAACAAAAUAAAGUCUAGAAGAUUGUCCAAUAGUAAGUGUUUGGGAUUAAAGAGUUUAUUUCCUUUAUAGUUUCAGGUUCGAGCCUCGUGGUUGCUCAUAUGAUGGUCACUAGAGGCUUAUAUGGUCGUUAAAUUCAGGGCCCAUGGGAUUAGUCGAGGUACGCAUAAACUAGCCUGGACACCCACUUUAAUAAAUAAAAAAAUCAAACAAAAUUGUAUAAAAAAUCACCAACAAGAACUGCUAUGGAUCAAUGGUCUAUUUGAAAACAAAUCCGUGAAAUUUUAUAUAAAUAGUUACUGUUUUUUUAUUAUUUAGACUUUAAUAAAAUAUAAGAGAUUUUUCUCUAUUUUUGUAUGGUGUUUAUAAUUUUAACCUUAGAUUCUGAAAAUCUUAAUUUUAUCUUUUCUAGACAUACACUUCGUCAUAAAAUUUGUUUGUUAGUAAGAUAGUGAUAAAGCCCUUCUCCACCGAGGCAAGAUGCCAAGUGAUGUUUGUUUGUGAGUAAGAUAGUGAUAAAGCCCUUCUCCACCUAGACAAGAUGCCAACUAAUGUUUGUUUUGCAUGACACCACGCGCAACACACCCACAUUAAUUAUUUGGUCGACGCUCUUGUCGUGGGGUAGAUAUUCUUUUUCAACAAGAAAAUUAAAUAUGUAAGUUUUUUUUGACAGGUUUUUUAACUUAAAAAAUAUUAAGUAUAAAUAUAAAAAAUUUAUGCAUACAUUUAAUUAAAUAAAUUAUAAAUUAUUUUUAUAUUAACAAAUAAAAAAUCAAGAGACAGAUAUAGAUCAAAAUAUUUGAUAUUAAUGCAACGUGGUUCAUUUAACCGAUUAUUUUUUAUAAUUUUAUUUAUUUAAUUAAAUAACAAUAAAAAUAAACAUAUAUACAAAAUUAAUUGCAUAAAAUAAAAGGAAAAAACAUGUCACACAAUGUUGCACUUAUUAGACAUACUAUAAAAAAAUAUUUAUUUAUUUAUUUAUUUUUUAAAACAAAGUUCAAUUAUAUAAAACAUGAAAAAAUUAUAGAUUAAUUAGAAAAACCUAUUCAAAAAACUAAAUACAUACAGCAUACUUAAAAAAACCACUAUUUAAAAAAUACUACACAUAAAAAUUAAAAAAAAAUCAAAGAGAAGGGGUAUUGAUUUAAAUAUAAAUUAAAAAAUUAUUUAAAAAACAAAUUUUUUUAAAAAGCAUGAAUUCUUUUAAGAGCAUCAAAUUACCAAAAAAUAAGAAAAAGAGACCAGGCCAACACCUGACCGUUUAAGAGGGCCCGUACAUUGGUUUAUUUUUUUGAAAAAUAUAAUUAAGGUGAAUGAUAUGUUUUUUGAAAAAACAAGUCAAACAAUGCACCAUCUAAUUUAAUUCAAAUCUCGACCAUUAUGGUAUCAAAAAAUUAGGACUGAAUAUAUUUUAACUCAAAAACCUGUUUUCAGUAAAAAUAGUAUGUAAAUUUGGAUGACCUAAAAAAAUAAAAUAGUAUCAAUAAUAACUCUGAAUUAAUAUUUAAAAUUAGGAGGUUAGAAAAACAAUGAGAGGUUAGAACUUAAAAAAAAAUGUAUGCAAAAAUGGAAGAGAAAGGGGAAAACGUUGAUUCUUUGCAAGAAGCAUAUUCCUUUUAGUUGCUAUGGUUGUGGUAAGGGAUUUUAACCAUUUAAUUUCACGUGUUAAUGGGUUUUUUCAUGUAGGAUUAAAAUCUCUCCUGAUUCUUGAAUUUAGAGUUCAUGAGACUUUUUGUAUUUAGAUGUUAAUUGAUUUGUGUAUUAUCUAAGAUAAAAUAAAUAAUAAUAAAAAGAAAUAAAAAAACUAAAGGAUAAUGAAAUAAAAAAACUCAAAUUUUAUAAAUCAUUUAAAAUAAAAAACAAUAAUUAAAAUAACAGAUAUCAAAUCUUAAAGAAAAUCAUAUUAAAUGGUUGAUUUAACAAUCUAGGGUGACACCUGUCAAUAUCAAAAUGGAAAGAGAGAGAGAGAGAGAGAGAAAGAUCUCACAAGUGCCAAACCGGAUGUCAUACCCCAAGCGCUGCGAUUUUAUGAAGGAAAUAUCGGGAGGAUUUCAAGAAAGCCGGUCAUUAAUUCCGCACGACGCCCCACAAGCCGCUAGAGAGAAAACAUUCUUUGUAAGAAAGAAAUAGGCAGCACAUCAAUUUUAGCGAACGAAAUAAUUUUAAGAAAACAUUCUCAUUUUCCUUUCUUUUUUCACAAGUAUCUGUAAACUAAUACAGACAUACUUGUUCCAAUAAUUGAGCUCUGAGAUUUUAAGAAGGAAAGCAUGUUCUUACACUCCCGCUGCACACUUUUUGGAGUUAUAAAUUAUAGAUCUAAAUCCUCCUUGUCUUUUCCAAAAAGAAAAGAAAGAAAGAAAAUAGUCAUGAUCGACUUUGGAAACACCAAUGUGCUUUCCUUUACUGGUCCUACGAUUUUGCGUUUAUUGACGAUAAACUACAGCUCUCAGGUUGACUCAUUGCUCUCUCUUCACUCCCUCACUAUAAUUAAACCCCACCACAAAGAACCCUUCUGAUCACCAUGUUUUACUUUUUUUAGCUCUUCCCUUACUUCUUCAUCUCAAGCUUCUUUGUUUACUGUUUGAUCUCAACGUUUUCUCUGAUCAUAUCUCUCUAAGCUAUAGAAAUGAAGGUGAGAAUCAGCUCUCUCUCUCUCUAUAUAUAUAUUUUCUAUUAGAUAUGACUUGUAUGCUUGCAUGAAUGAAUCAUGCGUCAAGUUUUCUUUUCUUUUCCUUACUUUCUUUUUUCCUGUUGAUUUACUUAUUUUGAUGAAGACCUUGCUUCUUUUACAUAAUUCAUUGAGUUUUGUUGGCUUCAGUUUGAUUUAGUCAUUGUUUUAAUGGGAUUCCUUGGUAUUGAUUUUAAGUGAUUACUGUUUCUUGAUUAUCUUGAUAUUGAUUUAUAACAAAAUUCACAUGAUUAUCUUGAUUAUUUUGUUGCAGAAAGCUGUGUUGAAAUUGGAGUUGCAUGAUGAGAAAGCCAAGAAAAAAGCCAUGAAGACAGUCUCUGGUCACUCAGGUAUUGAAUUAUUUUAUUUAUUUAUUGCUAUAUGGUCAUUACCUAAUAAAUUGUGAUUCAAAUUUGCAGGGGUGGAUUCAGUAUCCAUCGACAUGAAGGACAAGAAGUUGACAGUGAUAGGGGGCAUUGAUCCAGUACACAUAGUGACCAAACUGAGAAAGCUGUGUCACACAGAAAUAGUCACAGUAGGACCGGCAAAAGAGCCUGAGAAGAAAAAAGAUGAGCCCAAGAAAGAAGAGCCGAAGAAGCAAGGAGAUCAGAAGAAGAAAGAUCAAGAUCAGGUGGCUUGCCAGGCCUAU
Molecule: long non-coding RNA, 4542 nt
Filed under: Populus trichocarpa (black cottonwood)
Lineage: Eukaryota; Viridiplantae; Streptophyta; Magnoliopsida; Malpighiales; Salicaceae
Description: long non-coding RNA (PTRI_LNC003927)
Source: RNAcentral